GACGAACGCUGGCGGCGUGCUUAACACAUGCAAGUCGAGCGGUAAGGCCCCUUUGGGGGUACACGAGCGGCGAACGGGUGAGUAACACGUGGGUGACCUGCCCUCAGCUCUGGGAUAAGCCUGGGAAACUGGGUCUAAUACCGGAUAUGACUCCAUGACGCAUGUUGUGGGGUGGAAAGCCUUGUGCGGCUGGGGAUGGGCCCGCGGCCUAUCAGCUUGUUGGUGGGGNGAUGGCCUACCAAGGCGACGACGGGUAGCCGGCCUGAGAGGGCGACCGGCCACACUGGGACUGAGACACGGCCCAGACUCCUACGGGAGGCAGCAGUGGGGAAUCUUGCGCAAUGGGCGAAAGCCUGACGCAGCGACGCCGCGUGAGGGAUGACGGCCUGGUGU
RNAcentral lists this ribosomal RNA (393 nucleotides) under uncultured bacterium. Its description in RNAcentral is "bacterial SSU rRNA". It matches the Rfam family "Bacterial small subunit ribosomal RNA", at positions 28 to 422 of the family's 1533-position model. The record is from RNAcentral.